RNAcentral lists this ribosomal RNA (497 nucleotides) under uncultured bacterium. RNAcentral's name for it is "partial 16S ribosomal RNA". It matches the Rfam family "Bacterial small subunit ribosomal RNA", at positions 28 to 507 of the family's 1533-position model. The record is from RNAcentral.
GAUGAACGCUGGCGGCGUGCCUAAUACAUGCAAGUCGAGCGAACAGACGAGGAGUUUGCUCCUCUGACGUUAGCGGAGGACGGGUGAGUAACACGUGGAAAACCCACUUAUAAGACUGGGAUAAUUUCGGGAAACCGGAGCUAAUACCGGAUAAUAUAUUGAACCGCAUGGUUCAAUAGUGAAAGACGGCUUUGCUGUCACUUAUAGCUGGAUCCGCGCCGCAUUAGCUAGUUGGUAAGGUAACGGCCUACCAAGGCAACGAUGCGUAGCCGACCUGAGAGGGUGGUCGGCCGCACUGGAACGGAGACACGGUCCAGACUCCUACGGGAGGCAGCAGUAGGGAAUCUGCCGCAAUGGGCGGAAGCUUGACGGAGCAACGCCGCGUGAGUGAUGAAGGUCUUCGGAUCGUAAAACUCUGUUAUUAGGGAAGAACAAAUGUGUACGUAACUAUGCACGUCUUGACGGUACCUAAUCAGAAAGCCACGGCUAACUACGUG